Long non-coding RNA from Manduca sexta (tobacco hornworm), 281 nucleotides. RefSeq lists it as uncharacterized. The record is from RefSeq and is a predicted model, not a curated record. Lineage: Eukaryota; Metazoa; Arthropoda; Insecta; Lepidoptera; Sphingidae. The transcript is spliced from 2 exons.
UGCACCAUUGCGAUGCCACAGCAACGACUAGUAUAUUUCUUAGACAAGCUAUCCAGUUUGUUUCAAGGCUGGAAUUAAUUUGUGCUGCCUGCUGGAGAUCAGUUAAUAGAGAGGGUCACAGACAACAGCAACAUGACAUGAUCCGACCAGCACUGCAAGAAGUCAUUCACUCACUUCGGCAGUAUUAUAAGCGUGUUGCGGCCACAUCAAGUUCUUGUUUGUUUUCUGGGAAGCCAAAUCUAUCAAAAAUACACAUCUAUAUAAAAAUAUACAUCGGAUUU